GAUUAGUCGCAUUCAUCACUAUCAUAAUAUUUGAUUAAGAGAGUUAAACAACUGCUAUGCCAUUUGAAUGUUUAUUUGAUAACUGAAUUAAGUGAAUAAAAUUUAUUGCCUACUUAAAGAAACGGUCAUGAAUGUGUUCUCUAAUAAAGUGGCCUUUUAAAAGCAUAUCUAAGUAUAACUUAAAAAUAAUACUUUAAGAUAUGAAAUACACAACAGCUGCACAUUUAAAAAAAAAUAAGCUCACUUUUUCAGAAGCGGCAUGAGGUGUAAGUGUGAAAAGUUGCUUCAUGUGAAAUAAGCUGACAACAGUCUAUCAAGAUUAGCAGCCAGAACAUCCUCUCUAUAACUUCCCUUUAUUUCCCAUAUAAAUAUAGUAUUUGGGCAUAACAGCAGGCAGUUGUCUAUUGAUUAUUGAAGACUGUGACACAGAGAUGACAAAAUCACUUAUUUUUCUUCUGGCGACUCUUCUGUUCUGUUCAGGCAUUUCAGAUGUUCAGAUGGGAAUGUCUCAGCACUUUGACCAUCUGAAUCCUGUGAGGGAGAUGGAGUUCGGUUAUCAUGACAAAGCAACGGAGAACAAACAGUUAAUAAUUUGCAAUGUUUGUAAGAUGAUCCUUGGAAAAGUGAUAGGAUAUAUUGGAAAAACAGCUUCUAAGGAGAAGAUAAAUCAGCAGCUUGAUAAAAUCUGUGAAAAAAUAAGAAUAAGGGGUUGUAAAACUUUUGUGCAGAAAUAUAAAACAAAACUGGUCACUUAUCUGCUCUCUGGAGACAAGGCAGGGACCAUCUGUAUCAAAUUACAAUUGUGCAAACAGAUGGACAUGCAAACCUAAUGUGAAUGCUUCAAGCAUAGAAAUGCAUUGUCAUUUAUGUUAUAAUUUGUUACACAUGACAAUAAAAUUAAAGCUCAAUAA
This is a long non-coding RNA of Carassius auratus (goldfish), 911 nucleotides long. RefSeq lists it as uncharacterized. The transcript has 4 exons. The record is from RefSeq and is a predicted model, not a curated record. NCBI's taxonomy places the organism in Eukaryota, Metazoa, Chordata, Actinopteri, Cypriniformes, Cyprinidae.